This 214-nucleotide ribosomal RNA is filed under the name uncultured bacterium. RNAcentral's name for it is "partial 16S ribosomal RNA". It matches the Rfam family "Bacterial small subunit ribosomal RNA", at positions 29 to 232 of the family's 1533-position model. The record is from RNAcentral.
AAUGAACGCUGGCGGCGCGCCUAAUACAUGCAAGUCGAGCGAGAAGACGUAGCAAUACGUUUGUAAAGCGGCGAACGGGUGAGGAAUACAUGGGUAACCUACCCUAGAGUGGGGAAUAACUAGCCGAAAGGUUAGCUAAUACCGCGUACGCUCCUUGGACUUCGGUUCAGGGAGGAAAGCGAUACCGAGGGUAUCGCGCUCUUGGAUGGGGCUC